AAUAUUGCACAAUGGAGGGAACUCUGAUGCAGCGACGCCGCGUGAGCGAAGAUGACAUUCGGGACGUAAAGCUCUUUCCUAUGGGACGAUAAUGACGGUACCAUAUGAGGAAGCCCUGGCUUACUCCGUGCCAGCAGCCGCGGUAGUACGUAGGGGGCGAGCGUUGUCCGGAAUUACUGGGCGUAAAGGGUACGCAGGCGGCCAUGUAAGUCAGAUGUGAAAGGCGUAGGCUUAACCUAUGUAAGCAUUUGAAACUGUGUGGCUUGAGUUAAGGAGAGGAAAGUGGAAUUCCUGGUGUAGCGGUGAAAUGCGUAGAUAUCAGGAGGAAUACCAGUGGCGAAGGCGACUUUCUGGACUUAAACUGACGCUGAGGUACGAAAGCGUGGGGAGCAAACA
This 396-nucleotide ribosomal RNA is filed under the name uncultured bacterium. Its description in RNAcentral is "partial 16S ribosomal RNA". It matches the Rfam family "Bacterial small subunit ribosomal RNA", at positions 360 to 774 of the family's 1533-position model. The record is from RNAcentral.